UAAAGUUUGUAUCGAUACCAUAUAUUGU
RNAcentral lists this small RNA (28 nucleotides) under Bombyx mori (domestic silkworm). RNAcentral describes it as "ovarian small RNA-18429". Lineage: Eukaryota; Metazoa; Arthropoda; Insecta; Lepidoptera; Bombycidae. The record is from RNAcentral.